UAGGGAAUCUUCCGCAAUGGACGCAAGUCUGACGGAGCAACGCCGCGUGAGUGAAGAAGGAUUUCGGUUCGUAAAACUCUGUUGUUAGAGAAGAACAGCGCAUAGAGUAACUGUUAUGCGUGUGACGGUAUCUAACCAGAAAGGGACGGCUAACUACGUGCCAGCAGCCGCGGUAAUACGUAGGUCCCGAGCGUUGUCCGGAUUUAUUGGGCGUAAAGCGAGCGCAGGCGGUUAGAUAAGUCUGAAGUUAAAGGCAGUGGCUCAACCAUUGUAGGCUUUGGAAACUGUUUAACUUGAGUGCAGAAGGGGAGAGUGGAAUUCCAUGUGUAGCGGUGAAAUGCGUAGAUAUAUGGAGGAACACCGGUGGCGAAAGCGGCUCUCUGGUCUGUAACUGACGCUGAGGCUCGAAAGCGUGGGGAGCGAACAGG
RNAcentral lists this ribosomal RNA (428 nucleotides) under Bacteroidota bacterium. RNAcentral describes it as "Bacteroidetes bacterium partial 16S ribosomal RNA". It matches the Rfam family "Bacterial small subunit ribosomal RNA", at positions 355 to 776 of the family's 1533-position model. Lineage: Bacteria; Pseudomonadati; Bacteroidota. The record is from RNAcentral.